AAUGCACACAAAACCCAAAGAACAUUAUUUUCAUCUAAUAACGUUCUUGCCUGGUGUGCAAAGAGAAAAUAUGUACCUUGUCGCCUUUCUUAUGCUGCUGUGCUACUGAAAGUGAAUUCAAGGUUCAACACUG
Molecule: small nucleolar RNA, 133 nt
Organism: Polyodon spathula (Mississippi paddlefish)
Lineage: Eukaryota; Metazoa; Chordata; Actinopteri; Acipenseriformes; Polyodontidae
Product: small nucleolar RNA SNORA68
Exons: 1
Source: RefSeq, a predicted model, not a curated record